CCUACGGGUGGCAGCAGUAGGGAAUCUUCCACAAUGGGCGAAAGCCUGAUGGAGCAACGCCGCGUGGGUGAAGAAGGUCUUCGGAUCGUAAAACUCUGUUGUUAGAGAAGUAAGUGCGUGAGAGUAACUGUUCACGUUUCGACGGUAUCUAACCAGAAAGCCACGGCUAACUACGUGCCAGCAGCCGCGGUAAUACGUAGGUGGCAAGCGUUAUCCGGAUUUAUUGGGCGUAAAGGGAACGCAGGGGGUCUGUUAAGUCUGAUGUGAAAGCCUUCGGCUUAACCGGAGUAGUGCAUUGGAAACUGGGAGACGUGAGUGCAGAAGAGGAGGGUGGAACUCCAGGUGUAGCGGUGAAAUGCGUAGAUAUAAGGAAGAACACCAGUGGCGAAGGCGGAUGUCUGGUCUGUAACUGACGCUGAGGUUCGAAAGCGUGGGUAGCAAACAGGAUUAGAUACCCCUGUAGUC
Molecule: ribosomal RNA, 465 nt
Filed under: uncultured bacterium
Lineage: Bacteria
Description: partial 16S ribosomal RNA
Rfam family: Bacterial small subunit ribosomal RNA
Source: RNAcentral